AGUGAACGCUGGCGGUAGGCCUAACACAUGCAAGUCGAACGGCAGCACAGUAAGAGCUUGCUCUUACGGGUGGCGAGUGGCGGACGGGUGAGGAAUACAUCGGAAUCUACUUUUUCGUGGGGGAUAACGUAGGGAAACUUACGCUAAUACCGCAUACGACCUACGGGUGAAAGCAGGGGAUCUUCGGACCUUGCGCGAUUGAAUGAGCCGAUGUCGGAUUAGCUAGUUGGCGGGGUAAAGGCCCACCAAGGCGACGAUCCGUAGCUGGUCUGAGAGGAUGAUCAGCCACACUGGAACUGAGACACGGUCCAGACUCCUACGGGAGGCAGCAGUGGGGAAUAUUGGACAAUGGGCGCAAGCCUGAUUCAGCCAUACCGCGUGGGUGAAGAGGGCCUUCGGGUUGUAAAGCCCUUUUGUUGGGAAAGAAAAGCAGCAGGUUAAUACCCCGCUGUUCUGACGGUACCCAAAGAAUAAGCACCGGCUAACUUCGUG
RNAcentral lists this ribosomal RNA (492 nucleotides) under uncultured bacterium. RNAcentral's name for it is "partial 16S ribosomal RNA". It matches the Rfam family "Bacterial small subunit ribosomal RNA", at positions 29 to 507 of the family's 1533-position model. The record is from RNAcentral.